GCCGUCGUAGUGUAAUGGUAGCACACUCGGCGCGUAUACGAGAGGUCCAGGUUCGAGUCCCGGCGAGGGUA
Molecule: transfer RNA, 71 nt
Filed under: Stegodyphus mimosarum
Lineage: Eukaryota; Metazoa; Arthropoda; Arachnida; Araneae; Eresidae
Rfam family: tRNA
About the family: Transfer RNA (tRNA) molecules are approximately 80 nucleotides in length.
Source: Rfam by way of RNAcentral